This is a long non-coding RNA of Cucurbita moschata (crookneck pumpkin), 308 nucleotides long. RefSeq lists it as uncharacterized. The record is from RefSeq and is a predicted model, not a curated record. The transcript is spliced from 2 exons. NCBI's taxonomy places the organism in Eukaryota, Viridiplantae, Streptophyta, Magnoliopsida, Cucurbitales, Cucurbitaceae.
ACGGUAGGGGGGUGGGAAUGAGGAAGCAGACAUUAUAAUCAUAUUCAUUGCGAGAGUGGAACAGCAUUGUUCAAAUCCAGAAGAAGGAUCAAGAAAUGGGUUCUAAACAUUCAAUGGGUCACCCACAAAGUUAGUCUUUUCCAACUAUCUGAACUUCUACACUAAGAGAGGUGUAAUAGUGUUGCCAAAACUGUAUACAUCAUUUAAAUCUUGUAUACAUCAUUUAAAUCUUGAAGGGUGGAGAUUGAAAAUGAUUGCAAUCAAAUAAACAAAAGCUAUAAUGUAUGAUGCUGAUGAUGAUUUCGAUC